This 949-nucleotide long non-coding RNA is filed under the name Setaria viridis. Its description in RNAcentral is "long non-coding RNA (SVIR_LNC008746)". The record is from RNAcentral. Lineage: Eukaryota; Viridiplantae; Streptophyta; Magnoliopsida; Poales; Poaceae.
GGAGUAGUGUACAUGAGGAUGGGAAGGAACCAGGGCAAAAAUGACCUUUUGCAUUAGUCUCAUGUUAGCAUGGAGUACCAUACUAGUAUAAGGAUGAGUUUGAUCAAAAAUAAAAGUUGAGGGGACUAGAUUGGUCUAUUUGAAAGUUAAGGGAUGAAUUUAACCCUGGGGUAAAGUUGAGGGACCAAUUAUUUUGCCAUCUACCAACACAUGUGUGGUAGAUAUUGAAUGCUACCAUUGUACUCCUCCUGAAUCAAAUGGUACAUUAAGGCCAGUCUCAAUGGAGGUUUCAUCGGUAGUUUCAUGACCAUUAAAUAACAUUCCACAUUAGCAAAUUGCUGAUGUGGCAAGGUCAUUAUGAGGAGAGAGGAGAGGAAGUUUCAUCAUAUGUGUGAGGAGUUUUAUCACCAUGAAACCCAGCAGGCACAAUUACCAAGUUCUUAGAUUUGGUAACUAUACCAUGAAACUGUGCACUGAGACUAGCACAUCACAUUCUUCAAAGUAUAUAUUAAUAAAAAUAGAAUGUGUCAAUGUAAAGACAAAUUUUAAUGUAAUGUUUCUAGAGAUAUGAAACAAAAGCCAGCUUGAAACCAUGUCUAAAGUCACGCUUCUUUCUCUCUUUUUAUGAAAGUGAGUAGCAAGUUUGGCUUUACUUUCGGUAGUUUUUUUGAAAAAUAGAAAGUUUGAGGUGUUAUGAUAUAUAUAUCAUAUAUUUGGUUCCUGAUCCGGCUGGCCAAGCCAAAUUUUGGCCAUUCCAAACAAUUCGGGUACCCUAUUUGGUUCAUAGCCAAAAGUUUAGCUAGCCAAAAAGAUUUUGACCAAGACCAGUCACAGUAAACGCUCUCUGCACUCCCAAGCAAAACGGCAGCCGAGAAUGGGCUUGGCUGCUAGGCCCUGUGCGGUGACGUGUCAUGUUUCGGUUGGUUACAUUCAAUGUUUUAUAUUUAGG